GCGAUGGAAGCGGCAUCCUUUUGCGGAGUUUACGAAGCAAAAGAUAGAGCGGACAGCGCGACGGCGG
RNAcentral lists this small RNA (67 nucleotides) under Flavobacterium caeni. RNAcentral describes it as "Flavo-1 RNA". It matches the Rfam family "Flavo-1 RNA", at positions 9 to 76 of the family's 76-position model. Lineage: Bacteria; Pseudomonadati; Bacteroidota; Flavobacteriia; Flavobacteriales; Flavobacteriaceae. The record is from RNAcentral.